Molecule: long non-coding RNA, 5548 nt
Filed under: Taeniopygia guttata (zebra finch)
Lineage: Eukaryota; Metazoa; Chordata; Aves; Passeriformes; Estrildidae
Description: lncRNA (ENSTGUG00000022957.1)
Source: RNAcentral
UUUUUUUUUUUUUUUUAAUUAUAAGUGUAGGAUCAGCAGCAAGCUAGGUAAUAAAAGAAGAUUUUGAUAAAAGACAGCUGAGAAUUAACAAGUUGCCACUUUAGUUUGACUUGUUUUGCAAACAAAACAAGCAGUCCCAGCCCACCAUGCCCCAUUUACACUUUGGAGCAAACACAGAAUAAACGAACUGGAUUCCUGUUGAGUGACUUCAAAGCAGCAAAAGUGGUCCCUGCCCACACUUGGUGUCCUCCAGCUCUUUGCUGUGGCUCAGUCCAGAGGACCAGACUCGGGUCAAACUGAAGAUUGGAGUUAAAUUCAUGAAAUGGGGUAGUGUGAAUAAAGGGUUCCCAGCAUCACAGCUGCAGUCAUUCCAUCUCCUCUGGUUGCACAUUAGCAGAGCACACAGAGCUGAAGUGGGAUUUAGUGACGUGGAGUUAAUUUCAAAUAUUUGUCUCCGAAAACAAAUGGCAAUCUGACAAAAAUGUUGUGAUUUUUAUUUUGCAAUCAAACAUUUCAAAACACUGGAAAUGGACAAAUGGACAGAGGAUAUCUAGGAGUCUUCACUAUUCUAUAAUAAUUCAUGUUACAGCCUACAGUCCCUUCUCCCCCAUUUUCCUUAUCUGAUAAGUUCUUUCUAGAAGUAAUGUACAGAAGGACCUCCUUUGUAGAGUUUGCACUUAUAUUUCUCUCCUUACAUUAAGGAACACUUGUUCAUGUUCACAGAAUCCCAUGAUGGUUUGGGUUGGAAGGGGCCUUGAAGCCCACCCAGUGCCCCCCCUGCCAUGGCAGGGACACCUCCCACUGUCCCAGGCUGCUCCAAGCUCCAAUGUCCAACCUUGGGCACUGCCAGGGAUCCAGGGGCAGCCCCAGCUGCUCUGGGCACCCUGUACCAGGGCCUCCUCACCUCCCAGGGGAGGAUUUUUUCCUCAUAUUUCAUCUGAACCCACCCUGUUUCAGUCUGAAGCCAUUACCCUUUGUCCUGUAAUCUCUCAAGAUGUACAAGGUGCUGUCGGGUAUUGAUCUGAUCCAUUUAAUUGGCCUUGUAUCUUUGCUCUGGCAUAGCAAUAUACUAAUCCCAUUCUGACAAGUAUUUCUGGAUUCUAUAUAGCUUGAAUAUCAUCCAAGCACCUGGACAUUCUAAAUGUGAAUAUUUGAAGUUCAGAUUCUGCGAACCUUAAAGUGAUAAAAAUGUAAUUUCCAAAUGUCUGUAGGAGUUAAACAAAGCCAACUUGAACUACAUAUUCUAUCCUGAAGAACAAUGGUAGAAGUACUUUUAUAGUGGUAGUUCACCUUUACCCAUUUUGCCUCAGUGAACAACAGUACAGCACAUAGGCAACAAGUCUGCUACCAAUUUACUGUAUAUAUUUUCAUGUCCUAAAUAAAUGUAAAAGGAUUUGCAUGGUUUUCAGUGCAUUUUCAGAAAAUUAAUCUCUUGAGAAAAAAAAAAAAAUGCCAUAAAAGUCCCAGACUGAAUUCAUUAUGAACAAAAGAUAGCCAUGGUAAAUGCAACACAGGCUGCAGUGAGUAGAGCAGUACUAUGGUCUUUGUUUGGGAAAAUGUAUUCAAAAGUCACUGUCUUGUUUCUACCUAGUCAUACAAAUGGCUCUUUGACAGAGAGCUGAUAUCUCAUCAAAAACUAUUAUAGAACCAUAAUUACUACUUCUGGAUCAUUAAUCUGAACUACCAAUAUGCUUGUGCAUAAAUGGAAGUGCGUCAGGAAAUUCUGCCAGCCUGUGGUCCCUCAGAUGUGUUAUAAAACUGUUAAUUAUCAGAAAUGAGACCUACGUAAGGUCUAUUGAGUUCUGUAAUCUCCAUGAAAAAAGCAAGACUUGGGGCCAGAUUGUAAUUCUGGCCAUGUCAGCACUUCCCUGGAAAUUUCAGAUAUCCAUUCCCUGCUCAGCUGUCCUUUCCCUCUCACUCAGCCCGCUGAGAUGGGAACCUGGGCAGGACCUUCCGUGCUCAUGGCACGCUCUUCUUCUCACUGGGAUGCUCAAUUUCCCAGGAAUGUGUUUGUGCCUAAUGCAUUCCAAGGAAAACAAAACACAACUUUCUCUGUCACUCUUCAGUGUGGGUUUUUUUGGGUUUUUUUUAUAUUCAUAAUGUUGUCCUCCAGUGCCAUACUGUGCCAUGGAAAAAAGUUCCAUACUGGUUGUGCUUAGUCUUGAACAUGAGUUAAUUACUGGCUGGUAAACGCAGCAUCCUGCCAUAACAUUUUACAGUUGUGCUUUUGUUGAUUAGCAUACAUAAAAAGGCAUCUGAUGAAGUAGCACAUUAUGAGAUAACUCUUGGGAAUGACAAGGUAGAAAGGACUGAGGGAAAAAUUAGGAAAACUGAAGCCAAGGAAAUCAGAGUGAAGAUAUAUUGCAACUGUUAUUCAUCUUUCCAGAUCAGAGACAGUUUCACAAGUGAAAGAACUACAAAAUUUGGCCCUGAAGAUAAUAACAAUACAUUAGGUUUUGCAAAAAUUGAGCUGAUCUACUGCUGAAUGCUACCAGAGUUGUCAAAUGUGGGUUGCUUUUUCACUGUGUUCUGCUAUCGCUACUGAAUUGUCUACAAACACCUUCCCUGUAAACCUUCUGGUGUGAUAUUUAAGGAAAAGUAGCAGAAGGGGCUCAGGUCCUCCAUCAUUAGCAGAUAUGAGAGCUCUAAAGCUAUGAAAAUGGGGAACUUCUGCAGGAGCUACCAAAUUAAUCUCAGAAUUAUCAGGAGAUACUGUCCAGAAGUGAUGCUGGUUUCACAGAGUCCGUGUUCCAACUACUACUGCAGAAUAGAGGAUAUUUCAACUCAGAUGUGAAGGGGAAGCCUGAUGAACUUGUAGGGCUACCACACAAGAAUCAAGACAAAACUGGUUAGAUUACACAAAUAGUUACAGCUUUCAAAUUAUAAAUCAUAUUCCAUAUAAUCAAGUAUUGAUUACUUAAGACUUCUGAGAAAAAAGGCUGUUAAAUUUUUUCUCAUAUGAGAAAAUAUAACUCUGGUUUAGUCUUUAAUUCCCAUAGAACCCUAUACCAACAGGAAGAGCAAGACAGAAAAAUGAAUGGUGUAAUCCUACCCUCCCACGAGUUAAAAUCCUGAUUUUUCUCUCCAAUAUAAUAUUUCAUCCAUGAUUGUUCUUCACUGUUUUGAAAAAAAAAAAAAUAUAUAAGAGCUCUAUUGUAACACAAAUAUUGAAACUGUAGAAGUCAUUUAUUACGGCACUAUUGGUAGUUAUAAAAAGCUGGGGGAAAGGAUCAUUUCAGAACCAUAGACUCCAUGGGAACAACCACCACUGAUUCCUCCAUGUUUUACCUUAAAAAAUUGAUAUCCAAAGUCUCCGAGCAAAACUUGUAGUGACUUCAGUGAGGCCAAGAAAUCAUCUCUCUAAUGUCAUCUGAAAUAAAUCACGUGUGAAAUACAGAAGAAUUAAGUCCAAAACUUAUUUUUCAACACCAUCCCCUGUGGUUUUGUUCGACUUUGGUUGUGGGUUUUUUGUUGGUUUUGACUCAUUCUGGAAGUUAAGAGAAUAGCCAGAGUGACAGUGGACUGCAGCAGGGAGCUGGGGUUUGUCCCUGCUCGUGGGUCAGCUCCUUGGGGUGCAAAGCUGAGCAGCUCACCUGCUUGCUUCUCUCUAACAAAAGAUUGCAUUACAAACUGCUCUUUUCUGCUAUAUUCCAUCUUGAAAGGUUUUGGGGUUAUUUUUCUAUAUUUCACCUGAUCUGCUGGUUUCUUUGACUUCAAAGCAAGCUUUAUUAGUUUGAAAUUUUGAAUCUUUUACUGAUUUACUAAGUGUUUGCUAUUCUUACUGCAGCUAUCAAAUAUUUUUCUUGUGUUUUAAUUUUGUCUGCUGCUUGUAAUUUUUUCCUCGCUUGCAUUGUAAAUAGUGUAUUGCCUUAAAACUUCUGCAGUUCCAUGAAUGUAGAUGUUUUACAAAGCUAAUUACUCUGCAUGUAAUAGCUUAAUUAUUUAAAUGUGCAUAAAGCUGAUAACUCACAGAAGAGUAAGAAUUAGGAAAAUAAUAUAUGAAAAUAUAUGUAAAUGCUAUCUCAUUAUGAGAAGCAAAAAUAUGGAUAUGUAUGUCAGCACGUAGACUGCCAAAAGGAGAUUAUGAAAUUGAAAUGCAUUUUUUAAAAUAAAUUAUUUCUUCUCAUCUGACCAAUCUUUACAUCAAGAGCAUUGCCUACAUUUUGAGUCAUGUUUGUCAGAAAGCAAAUGUACGAAAGUCAGAUCAAAACAAGAACAAAAAUGAGCUUGAAGAAGGAAGAAAUGUAAAUUAUCUUAACAGAAAUCCAGCAAAGAAUCAGCAGAGUUGGAAAAAUCAGUGAUCACAAUGCAGCCAAGGCACAAGGCAGACAGACUGGGCCUGCUCAUACACUUUAAUGAGGAACUUGGUUCAGUCAGUUGUCUAAAAUAAGCGAUGUAUUAAAAAAUGGAGAAAUUCUAUAAGGAAAUCCUCAUCCAUUUCUUGCCCCUUCCUGUCUUUCCACAGAAUCUCUAAAGAGGCAGGAGAACAGGAACCAUACUGUUUAUUAAUUAUACAAAGGCAGCUCCUUGUGAAGGAUUUCAAAACAUCUUGUCAAACAUUUAAUUACCUCUCACUGUUAGCCUUGCUUCCAAAGGGUGUUAGUCCCUUCUCACAGGAGGUUUUUCAGGAAGGAGAGGUUCCUGCAAGGCAAAGUCAUCAUGGAACUGAGUAACUGUUCUCAGCAGGAAGACAGGCAGAAGCCAUCCCCAAAACACCCUGAGCACUGCAAGGGGACAGACGGAUCCCUCCUGGAACUCAUCCCACUGCCAGCAGUGACCACUCUUGGAUCUUACAGAAAUGCUGUGGACUUGGGCAAAACGAGGAAGAAUUCCCUCUCUGAUGCUCUGGUUGACACAGCUCCCAAGAUCCCUGAGGGAUAAAUGGGUCCUUUCAAGCAAAGGGUGUUAAGGAAGGGCUUCCAGUGAUGCUGCCUUGGCACUCUGCUGUUCCAGUGCUCAUAUCCAUGCCAGGAAAAACCAUGGGAAACCCGCAGCUGUAUGGUGAAACAGCUACAGAGAUGUCCAGAGACCUGAAAAAUAUGCUUUGCACAUAUCAAGCAGGAAAUUCAACCUAUAUAUUUUGCCAUAACAUGUUAAGUAAGUCAGGAACCAGCUAAAGUAAAAUACUUCAGAUAGAUAGUAGAAUUUGAAAAUUAUGGGUCCAUUUAGUUCAGGUGAUAAAAUGACAAAAAAAAAUAAACACACAAAAAGGUGACACUACAAAUUGAAUCUUUUUUCAUAAAUAAUUAAUCACCUAUUAGAAUAGAUUAGCAACAAAACUGAUUAAUAUGCCAACAGCCAACACCUCUAAAGUGAGGCCAGCUGCAUUUCAGAAAAGGGGACAGCUGAUUGGAAGCCGAGAGCAGCAGUUUAGGUGCUCUAUGACUACAAAGGAUUUGGUGUGUCCUUAAAGACAUCAAAUCACUAUGAAGCACAUUAUUUCUGUGCAGAUCCUUCCCAAUCAUUAAAAUGUUAAGGUGAUUUAGUUAUUUGGUCAAGCUUUUCUGCCUUUCCAAAAGCCACAUACCUAAAAAAAAAAAAAAAAAAA